This 909-nucleotide long non-coding RNA is filed under the name Anser brachyrhynchus (Pink-footed goose). Its description in RNAcentral is "lncRNA (ENSABRG00000018043.1)". The record is from RNAcentral. Lineage: Eukaryota; Metazoa; Chordata; Aves; Anseriformes; Anatidae.
UUCUGGUUGCUGCUAGUCCUGCACUGGAGAGUUCACAAGGGUGGCUACGUAAGAGGAAGCUCAACUGUUAAACUGCCACAACAUGAGGGAUGGCUCAAAAAUUAAACUCACAAGCCUACGGAGCUUCACUUGGUUUUAGAGAUCUGCUGCAGUUAGGAAGGCUCAGAAAGGUCAAAUGGCACAGGAUAAGUAUAAACCCAGCUCCCCAGUCACACUUGCCCAUUUCAAUCCAUCUGACAGGGGCAGAGGAAGAAAAUCCGCCUUACUCUAUGUCUUUGCAACAGGAGAGAGGGGCAAGCUAAUGCAGUUCACCUGUUCUGCUCUUCUGGCAGGAGGAAAAGGGAACAAGAAAAAGCACAAGAACACGUACAUGCUGAGUGGAGGAUUUGCAGAAUAGCUGAAGACCUGAUCUUCCUUGUUAUUUUUUAUUGAGAAUAAGAACAUAUCAAGCAUUAAACAAAAGUGUAUUUAGAAAUAUGACUUGUAGCAAAUUUCUAUAUUUUCUAAGAUUCUGAUCGUGAAAUCUCUGGAUAUGAUUUCAUAUAAAGGUUUGAUAAGAAAUCCCAUGCUAUUGGAUACAAGUUUCACAGCACUAAUUUGGGCACCUCAUACAUGACUCCUACUUUUGGAUUAAUGAAUACUGUUGACUGUGUGCUUGAUAACCUGCUCCACUGAACAAUUUUCUGGUGUACCAUGCAAGUACAGAAAGUACAAUACUAAUUAGCUGCUUUGCCCAUCUACUUAAAACGUUUUGCACAUGCCAGCAAAUGUAAAUACACAAUUAGGGCAUAUUUACUUAAAAGACAAAGCAAGACAAAGUACAACUAUUAUUAGCCAGAAAAAAAACCUUCACAAUCUUCAUCCAUAUUGAGGUCUAAUUAAGUUGCAAAAUGUGUAAAUCAGCUCAGG